Molecule: ribosomal RNA, 700 nt
Filed under: uncultured bacterium
Lineage: Bacteria
Description: bacterial SSU rRNA
Rfam family: Bacterial small subunit ribosomal RNA
Source: RNAcentral
AGUGGCGAACGGGUGAGUAACGCAUCGGAACGUGCCCAGUAGUGGGGGAUAACCAGUCGAAAGAUUGGCUAAUACCGCAUACGACCUACGGGUGAAAGCGGGGGAUCGCAAGACCUCGCGCUACUGGAGCGGCCGAUGUCUGAUUAGCUAGUUGGUGGGGUAAAGGCUCACCAAGGCGACGAUCAGUAGCUGGUCUGAGAGGACGACCAGCCACACUGGGACUGAGACACGGCCCAGACUCCUACGGGAGGCAGCAGUGGGGAAUUUUGGACAAUGGGCGAAAGCCUGAUCCAGCCAUGCCGCGUGCGGGAAGAAGGCCUUCGGGUUGUAAACCGCUUUUGGCAGGAACGAAACGGUGCCGACAAAUACUCGGCGCUAAUGACGGUACCUGCAGAAUAAGCACCGGCUAACUACGUGCCAGCAGCCGCGGUAAUACGUAGGGUGCAAGCGUUAAUCGGAAUUACUGGGCGUAAAGCGUGCGCAGGCGGCUAUGCAAGACAGGUGUGAAAUCCCCGGGCUCAACCUGGGAACUGCAUUUGUGACUGCAUGGCUAGAGUUUGUCAGAGGGGGGUGGAAUUCCACGUGUAGCAGUGAAAUGCGUAGAGAUGCGGAGGAACACCGAUGGCGAAGGCAGCCCCCUGGGACCUGACUGACGCUCAUGCACGAAAGCGUGGGGAGCAAACAGGAUUAGAUACCCCGG